Molecule: ribosomal RNA, 301 nt
Filed under: uncultured bacterium
Lineage: Bacteria
Description: partial 16S ribosomal RNA
Rfam family: Bacterial small subunit ribosomal RNA
Source: RNAcentral
CAGCAGCCGCGGUAAUACGAAGGGGGCUAGCGUUGUUCGGAUUUACUGGGCGUAAAGGGUGCGUAGGCGGAUUGUUAAGUCAGGGGUGAAAUCCCGAGGCUCAACCUCGGAACUGCCUUUGAUACUGGCGAUCUUGAGUCCGGGAGAGGUGAGUGGAACUGCGAGUGUAGAGGUGAAAUUCGUAGAUAUUCGCAAGAACACCGGUGGCGAAGGCGGCUCACUGGCCCGGUACUGACGCUGAGGCACGAAAGCGUGGGGAGCAAACAGGAUUAGAUACCCCAGUAGUCCCUGUCUCUUAUAC